Molecule: long non-coding RNA, 577 nt
Filed under: Chrysolophus pictus (golden pheasant)
Lineage: Eukaryota; Metazoa; Chordata; Aves; Galliformes; Phasianidae
Description: lncRNA (ENSCPIG00010003950.1)
Source: RNAcentral
CCGUUCCGGCGGAGGUGGGGCGGCCGUAGCGCUCGGUAGCGGGCCGUGCCGGACCGCCCCGUGUCCCCGUGUGCCCCCAGGAAGCUGGCGCUGCGCUACCACCCCGAUAAGAACCCAGACGACCCGGCGGCGGCCGAACGCUUCAAGGAGAUCAACAGCGCUCACGCCACGCUCAGCGACGCCGACCGGAGGCAGCUGUACGAUCAGUACGGAUCGCUGGGCCUCUACGUGGCCGAGCAGUUCGGAGACGAUGCCGUCCGUCACUACUUCCUCAUGUCCCAGUGGUGGUUCCAGGCCCUGGCACUGUGUUGUGGCGUGCUGACCUGCUGCUGCUGUUUCUGCUGCUGCUUCUUCUGCUGUGGGAGGUGCUGCCCGCCCCGCGAGGACGAGUCCUAUAAGUACGUCGACCCCAAGGACCUGGAGGCGGACGAUGGCGGCGACCCACAGAUCCCGGUGGAAGCGCAGCCCUCCCCAAGCAGCGCCCAGCCCCUGCCUGCUGCCGGAGCCAGGAGCGAGGCAUAGGGGCCGCCUAUGUGCCGGGGGAGGGGGACUGGGGGGGGAGAGCCUCCUCCUCGGC